This is a long non-coding RNA of Catharus ustulatus (Swainson's thrush), 1264 nucleotides long. RefSeq lists it as uncharacterized. The transcript is spliced from 3 exons. NCBI's taxonomy places the organism in Eukaryota, Metazoa, Chordata, Aves, Passeriformes, Turdidae. The record is from RefSeq and is a predicted model, not a curated record.
CGCCGCGGCUGCUACUUGGGCUCUUUGUCCUGCUGGUCCCCGUCGCUUCCCAGGAGCCCGGUGGGAAAUCCUGUGCCAGCCCCCUGGAUAGGGGUGAUCAGCCCUCCCCAGUCUGGUGGUAGAAGCAACCAGGCAUUGGAACAGACUGACCAGGAAAGUGAUGGAAUCACCAUGCCUCUCUCUACCUGAACUUGGUGCAUCCACAGCAUCCAUUCUCCUAGAGCUCUUGCCUUGAUUUUAGGUUUCCAUGCAGUGUCUGCUGGCCCAGCGUGGCCAUGAGUGCCUGAGAGCUCCCUCCCUACUGCUGCGUGUCCCUGGAGGGAUGGAGAGCUGAGCUGCUCUUCCCUGUGGCCACUGGAAAACCCUGCCCAUACACUCCCAUUUUCUGGAGAAGCAGGCUCCUUUUGCUCUGAAGAGCAGCCUCUCAGUGACACUGCUCCCUAUUUAUUUUGGCCUAACCUCUCCUUCCAGUGUUUAUGGCGACAAAACUUGGGUGCUGUUAAACAGCAAAUCUGAGCCCUUGGAGAAAACAUUUUGCAAUCCUUCUUCAAGCGUCAUUGCCUGGCUUAAAAAAAUCCCUGAGCAGAAAAAACUGUGCUGCUGGGAAACUGGCUUUGCUCUUGGGGGGAAUGUCACCACUUCUUUAUAAGGAGGCAGGAGAAUGUGGAGGCUGCAUCCUCUGAUAAAAAAAGAGGGAGAGGGACUUCUUAAGUGAGCCUGCAGUGACAGGACAAGGGUAAAUGGCUUCACACUGGUAGAGGGGAAGGUUGGGUGGAAUAUUGGGUAGGAAUUCUUCCCAGUGAGGCCCUGGCACAGGGUGCUCAGAGAAGCUGUGGCUGCCCCUGGAGCCCUGGCAGUAUCCAAGGCCAGGUUGGACACUGGGGGUUGGAGCAUUCUGGGAGAAUGAAAGGUGUCCCUGCUUGUGGCAGGGCGUGGAACAAGGCGAGGUGUGGUGUCCCUUCCAACCCGCCCCAUGUUCUGUGACAGGGACACCGUGUGUCUCCUGCACCACUCUGGCCUUCUGUGACUGUUAGGAAUGAUACUCUAAGCCCUGGAAUAACAAUCCUAGCAAGUAUGCUGUCUUUUUUCCCAAACUCUUAAUAGUUUACCAAGAAAAGAAUUAAUUCUGGCAUUUCAGUAGAGAGUUCAAAGUGCUGAAGGAGACAUCUGGGAUUAAGUAUUGAUGUAUAUCAGCAGCCCAGAGGUAUGGGAUUAAUAAAACAUUCUAACGAUUCUUCUGGUGUAUCUGAUGACAUUUGGGAAA